GGCUUAACACAUGCAAGUCGAGGGGUAUAUGUCUUCGGAUAUAGAGACCGGCGCACGGGUGCGUAACGCGUAUGCAAUCUACCUUUUACAGAGGGAUAGCCCAGAGAAAUUUGGAUUAAUACCUCAUAGUAUAGCUCUACCGCAUGGUAGUACUAUUAAAGUCACAACGGUAAAAGAUGAGCAUGCGUCCCAUUAGCUAGUUGGUAAGGUAACGGCUUACCAAGGCAACGAUGGGUAGGGGUCCUGAGAGGGAGAUCCCCCACACUGGUACUGAGACACGGACCAGACUCCUACGGGAGGCAGCAGUGAGGAAUAUUGGACAAUGGGCGCAAGCCUGAUCCAGCCAUGCCGCGUGCAGGAUGACGGUCCUGUGGAUUGUAAACUGCUUUUGUACGAGAAGAAACACUGCUUCGUGAAGCAGCUUGACGGUAUCGUAAGAAUAAGGAUCGGCUAACUCCGUGCCAGCAGCCGCGGUAAUACGGAGGAUCCAAGCGUUAUCCGGAAUCAUUGGGUUUAAAGGGUCCGUAGGCGGUUUAGUAAGUCAGUGGUGAAAGCCCAUCGCUCAACGGUGGAACGGCCAUUGAUACUGCUGAACUUGAAUUAUUAGGAAGUAACUAGAAUAUGUAGUGUAGCGGU
This 636-nucleotide ribosomal RNA is filed under the name uncultured Flavobacteriales bacterium. RNAcentral describes it as "bacterial SSU rRNA". It matches the Rfam family "Bacterial small subunit ribosomal RNA", at positions 45 to 682 of the family's 1533-position model. Lineage: Bacteria; Pseudomonadati; Bacteroidota; Flavobacteriia; Flavobacteriales. The record is from RNAcentral.